This is a long non-coding RNA of Gadus macrocephalus (Pacific cod), 1032 nucleotides long. RefSeq lists it as uncharacterized. The record is from RefSeq and is a predicted model, not a curated record. The transcript has 3 exons. Lineage: Eukaryota; Metazoa; Chordata; Actinopteri; Gadiformes; Gadidae.
UAGUGGUCUGCCGUAAGGCAAAUGCAAAACAAGAUGAGCGUGUAAUCACAAACAAAAGAAUAUAUUUAAAUAUGUUAAGAGCAUACAAGUGAUGUCACUCUGCCAUCAGCCAACGCAUUUGGGUGCAUGUUUAUAAAAAAGGACCUAUUACGCAGCCCUUCGGAACGUGCCUAUCAAUUGUUAACUAGAAUUCAUUCACAUUCUUGGCAAUACAGCUCAGACUUAUUGUAGGGCCGAAAUUCUCUUUCGAAUAAGUGAUUUCAUUGUGGGAUGAUGGAUGAGGGCAGACUUCAUAUCAUCUGCAGAUAUAUGCACUUUGUUUUGGACUACCCUGGUAACUUGAUGUCACGGCUACAACGCCCACACCCGUCUUCCUAUCGUCUGCAAAACAACCGGAUUUGCACUUGGCUGCAUGUCCUGCGUGCGCCCCCACGCCUCACAGCAGGCUCCUUUUACGGCAUUCUGCUUACAGGACAAAGUCCCUUUGGUUUCAGGAAUGGACUGACGCCCAGCCCAACGUGGCUACACUAAAGGACAAAGAAAAACUGUGAAAAUGGGACCAAGAGAAAAUGCAACAAGCCCGUUUCCAGAGGAAAACGCCAAGGCAGACUUACCCGACAUGCUGGCUGGGUGGAGGAAAAGGCUCCUGGAACAACUCCUAUGAGAUUCUCCAACGUCCCUUUUCUGCUUCAUUAAAUGGCCAAGAACCAAUAUCUUGCAAAAAUUGAAAAAGAUCGCACCACAAAAGUGUCAAAACAGCGUGAGAGCAUGCAACAAUAGUGUUAUAUACCUGGGGAUAUAUUAGUUUGUGAUUUUCUCCCUCCAUGCCUACUAUUUAAAACCCCUAGAACUCAAUGAUUUGACAAUGAUUUGAUUGCGCGUUACUUUCAAUUUGAAUAUUCAGAGGCAACUCAAAAAUAUCGAUUUUUCACUGCAAUUCAUCAUUUAUACACACUAAAUAAGUCCCACUUUAAUAGAUUAUAAUAGUAUUUUAUAUUUAAAAGAAAAUAAAGUGAUGUUUUAUACAUUUAA